This 253-nucleotide ribosomal RNA is filed under the name uncultured bacterium. RNAcentral's name for it is "partial 16S ribosomal RNA". It matches the Rfam family "Bacterial small subunit ribosomal RNA", at positions 524 to 776 of the family's 1533-position model. The record is from RNAcentral.
UACGGAGGGUGCAAGCGUUAUCCGGAUUCACUGGGUUUAAAGGGUGCGUAGGCGGGCAGGCAAGUCAGUGGUGAAAUCUCCGGGCUCAACCCGGAAACUGCCGUUGAUACUAUUUGUCUUGAAUGCCGUGGAGGUAAGCGGAAUAUGUCAUGUAGCGGUGAAAUGCUUAGAUAUGACAUAGAACACCAAUUGCGAAGGCAGCUUGCUACACGGUUAUUGACGCUGAUGCACGAAAGCGUGGGGAUCAAACAGG